AGGGGAAUUUUCCGCAAUGGGCGAAAGCCUGACGGAGCAAUGCCGCGUGGAGGUGGAAGGCCUACGGGUCGUCAACUUCUUUUCUCGGAGAAGAAACAAUGACGGUAUCUGAGGAAUAAGCAUCGGCUAACUCUGCGCCAG
This 141-nucleotide ribosomal RNA is filed under the name uncultured bacterium. Its description in RNAcentral is "partial 16S rRNA". It matches the Rfam family "Bacterial small subunit ribosomal RNA", at positions 355 to 511 of the family's 1533-position model. The record is from RNAcentral.